RNAcentral lists this ribosomal RNA (459 nucleotides) under uncultured bacterium. RNAcentral describes it as "partial 16S ribosomal RNA". It matches the Rfam family "Bacterial small subunit ribosomal RNA", at positions 338 to 795 of the family's 1533-position model. The record is from RNAcentral.
CCUACGGGUGGCAGCAGUGAGGAAUAUUGGUCAAUGGUCGGGAGACUGAACCAGCCAAGCCGCGUGAGGGAUGAAGGUACAGAGUAUCGUAAACCUCUUUUGUCAGGGAACAAAGGCGGGGACGUGUCCCCGGAUGAGUGUACCUGAAGAAAAAGCAUCGGCUAACUCCGUGCCAACAGCCGCGGUAAUACGGAGGAUGCGAGCGUUAUCCGGAUUUAUUGGGUUUAAAGGGUGCGCAGGUGGUCUGUUAAGUCAGCGGUAAAAGCCCGGGGCUCAACCCCGGCCCGCCGUUGAAACUGGCAGUCUCGAGUUGGAGAGAGGUAGGUGGAAUGCGCGGUGUAGCGGUGAAAUGCAUAGAUAUCGCGCAGAACUCCGAUUGCGAAGGCAGCAUGCCGGCUCCACACUGACGCUGAGGCACGAAAGCGUGGGUAUCGAACAGGAGUAGAUACCCCUGUAGUC